GAUGAACGCUGGCGGCGUGCCUAAUACAUGCAAGUCGAGCGAACAGAUGAGGAGCUUGCUCCUCUGACGUUAGCGGCGGACGGGUGAGUAACACGUGGAUAACCUACCUAUAAGACUGGGAUAACUUCGGGAAACCGGAGCUAAUACCGGAUAAUAUAUUGAACCGCAUGGUUCAAUAGUGAAAGACGGUUUUGCUGUCACUUAUAGAUGGAUCCGCGCCGCAUUAGCUAGUUGGUAAGGUAACGGCUUACCAAGGCAACGAUGCGUAGCCGACCUGAGAGGGUGAUCGGCCACACUGGAACUGAGACACGGUCCAGACUCCUACGGGAGGCAGCAGUAGGGAAUCUUCCGCAAUGGGCGAAAGACUGACGGAGCAACGCCGCGUGAGUGAUGAAGGUAUUCGGAUCGUAAAACUCUGUUAUUAGGGAAGAACAAAUGUGUAAGUAACUAUGCACGUCUUGACGGUACCUAAUCAGAAAGCCACGGCUAACUACGUG
RNAcentral lists this ribosomal RNA (497 nucleotides) under uncultured bacterium. Its description in RNAcentral is "partial 16S ribosomal RNA". It matches the Rfam family "Bacterial small subunit ribosomal RNA", at positions 28 to 507 of the family's 1533-position model. The record is from RNAcentral.